Molecule: ribosomal RNA, 253 nt
Filed under: uncultured bacterium
Lineage: Bacteria
Description: partial 16S ribosomal RNA
Rfam family: Bacterial small subunit ribosomal RNA
Source: RNAcentral
UACGGAGGGGGCUAGCGUUGUUCGGAAUCAUUGGGCGUAAAGAGCGUGUAGGCGGUCCGGUAAGUCCGCUGUGAAAGUCGGGGGCUCAACCCUCGAAUGCCGGUGGAUACUGUCGGGCUAGAGUGCGGAAGAGGCGAGUGGAAUUCCUGGUGUAGCGGUGAAAUGCGCAGAUAUCAGGAGGAACACCUAUUGCGAAGGCAGCUCGCUGGGACGUUACUGACGCUGAGACGCGAAAGCGUGGGGAGCAAACAGG